GGAAAUAUAGUUUAGUGAUAGAGCAUUUGCCUAGCAUGUACAAGGCCCUGGGAUACAUUCCCAGUACCUCUG
Molecule: transfer RNA, 72 nt
Filed under: Cavia porcellus (domestic guinea pig)
Lineage: Eukaryota; Metazoa; Chordata; Mammalia; Rodentia; Caviidae
Rfam family: tRNA
About the family: Transfer RNA (tRNA) molecules are approximately 80 nucleotides in length. Their secondary structure includes four short double-helical elements and three loops (D, anti-codon, and T loops).
Source: Rfam by way of RNAcentral